UGAUGUAAGCACGACCAACAACACUAAAAAUGAUGAGCUAGCAUUGCCUCAAGGACCAAUUACAAGGUUGAGAUCCAAGAGGUUGAAGGAAGCACUUCAAGGAUUCAUGAAGGAAUAUGUUGAAGCUUUGCAAGUUCAUUUUGAAGUUGAAGAACAAUCUGACCAUUCCAAGUCAAUUAGGCCGAAUGUGUCCUUAUUGACAAUUCAAAUUUUGUAUU
RNAcentral lists this long non-coding RNA (218 nucleotides) under Manihot esculenta (cassava). Its description in RNAcentral is "long non-coding RNA (MESC_LNC007326)". The record is from RNAcentral. Lineage: Eukaryota; Viridiplantae; Streptophyta; Magnoliopsida; Malpighiales; Euphorbiaceae.